GCAGGAAAGAGGGAGAGCAGGAGAGAGGGGGAGGAGAGCCGCCUGAGCGCUCUGAUCAGAGCAGACUGUUCAGAGGGAAUCCUGGAGAGCUGCUUUCCAUAGGCCCUGCUGCUGCUGAUUUUGGCCUGUGCACUCCUGCAGGGCUGCUGAGGAGCACAGAGACAGACUCUGUGACACACCGCUUGGAUACCAGAGGGUUGAAUUGAAAACAUUGCAAAACAACAACAUGUGUAACACUUUGAAAACGUUUUAAAUAUUUAAAUGUCAGUCACUACAGUGUAACAGCAUGUAGUUAAUGUAGCUGUAUUCUGAUGUCUAGCUUUAAUUUCUUCAAUAUUUGUUGUCUGGCUGGCUGACGUCAGGAACAGGACAAGUCACUAGCAAACUGAACAAUGCGAUGUCCCGGCCGCUUCCGAUUAGUGCCUGAACUCCGGAUUACUGUUCCCUGCAGCGUGCUGGCUGCUCCUCCUGUCUGCAGGCUCAACGCAGCUAGAUAAUGAAAGCAUGGAGCUGGGAGCAACUCGGUGUGCAGCUAAAAACAUUGUGCCACUGUUAGAUUUUCAGUUUUGAUUUACUGGUUCCUUGUUGUGUUUGUGUUUAAUAGCAUUCAACAAUAAACCCUUUUAUUACAGUU
Acipenser ruthenus (sterlet) is the source of this 634-nucleotide long non-coding RNA. RefSeq lists it as uncharacterized. The record is from RefSeq and is a predicted model, not a curated record. Lineage: Eukaryota; Metazoa; Chordata; Actinopteri; Acipenseriformes; Acipenseridae. The transcript is spliced from 2 exons.